UACGGGGGGGGCAAGCGUUGUUCGGAAUUACUGGGCGUAAAGCGCACGUAGGCGGAUAUUUAAGUCAGGGGUGAAAUCCCGGGGCUCAACCCCGGAACUGCCUUUGAUACUGGGUAUCUCGAGUCCGAGAGAGGUGAGUGGAAUUCCGAGUGUAGAGGUGAAAUUCGUAGAUAUUCGGAGGAACACCAGUGGCGAAGGCGGCUCACUGGCUCGGUACUGACGCUGAGACGCGAAAGCGUGGGGAGCAAACAGG
This 253-nucleotide ribosomal RNA is filed under the name uncultured bacterium. RNAcentral describes it as "partial 16S ribosomal RNA". It matches the Rfam family "Bacterial small subunit ribosomal RNA", at positions 524 to 776 of the family's 1533-position model. The record is from RNAcentral.